Molecule: long non-coding RNA, 2408 nt
Organism: Canis lupus familiaris (dog)
Lineage: Eukaryota; Metazoa; Chordata; Mammalia; Carnivora; Canidae
Exons: 3
Source: RefSeq, a predicted model, not a curated record
UCCAUCUGUGUCAUCUCUUAUUUCUUUCGUGUCUUAUUUUAUUCUUUUUGAUGCAAUUGUAAAUGGGAUUGUUUUCAUAAUUUCUUUUUGUGAUAGAUAGUUGUGUCUAGAAAUACAACAGAUCCUUUGAAUGUUAACUUUGUAUCCUGCGAUUUUACUGAGUUCAUUUAUUCUAGCUUUUUUUUUUUUUUUUUUUUUUGGUGAUGUCUUCAGGGUUUUCUAUGUAUAAAAUUAUGUAAUCCACAUAUAGUGACAGUAUUAUUUCUUCCUUUCCAAUUUGGAUAGCUUUCGGUCUUUUUCUUACCUUCUUGCUUUGGCUAAGACUUCCAAUACCGUUUUGAAUAAAAAUGGUGAGAGUGGCAUCCUUGUCUUGUUCCUGAACUUAGAGAAAAAGUUUUCAGCUUUUCACUAUUGUGUAUGAUGUUUGCUGUGGGCUUGUCACGUAUCACCUUGUCAUAGUAUCAUUUUAAUAUAGAGGGUAUGUUGCUUCUAUACUUUGUUGAGAGUUUUUAUCAUAAAUGUAUGUUGAAUUUUGUGAAAUGCUUUUUCUGUAUAUAUUAAGAUGACCAUAUGAUUUUUAUCAUUCAUUUUGUUAUGGGGUAUAUGAAAUUGAUUUGUGGUUGCUGAACCAUCCUUGCAUCCCUGGAAUAAAUCCCACUUGAUCAUGGUGUAUGAUUCUUUUAAUGUAUAGUUAAAUUUGGUUUCCUAGUAUUUUUUGAUGACUUCUGCAUUUAUGUUUAUCAGGGACAUUGUCCUGUAAUUUUCUUUCCUUGUGAUGUCCUUAUUUGAUAUUUGUUAGGGUAAUGUUGGCCUCAUAAAAUGAGUUUGGAAUCAUUCUUUACUUUUUAGGUUUUUUUUGAAGAGUUUGAGAAUGAUUGAUACUAAUUCUUAGAAUGUUAGGUAGCAUUCACCCAUAAAGCCAUGUGGUGGUCCUAGACUGAUUUGUUGGAGGUCUCAGUCACUGAUUAAAUCUCCUUAUUAGUAAUCAGUCUAUUCAGAUCUUCUAUUUUUUUCAUGAUUCAUUCUUGGCAGGUUGUAUGUCACUAGGAAUUUAUCCAUUUCUUCUAGAGUGUCCAUUUUAUUUGCAUAUAAUUGUUUAUAAUAGUCUCUUAACAUCCUUUGCAUUUCUGAGGUAUCUUUGUAAAGUCUUCUGAUUUUGUGUGAGCCCUCAUUUUUUCUUUAGAAGUCUAGCUAAAGGUUUGUCAUUUUAUGUUUGUAUUGGUGUGUUGCAUUCGCAUUUUUGUUUAACUUAAUAAAUUUUUGAUUUCUCCUUUGAUUUCCUUAUCGGCACAUUGGUUGUCCACAGUUGCAUGUGAAUUUUCAGUUUUAUUCUUAUAACUGGUUUUUAGUUUUAUAUCCUUGUAGUUGGAAAAGAUGCUUGAUAUGAAUUGAAUUGUUCUCUUAAAUUUAUUAAGAAUUGUUUUUGUGACCUUAACAUAUGAUCUAUCCUGGAGAAUGGUUCAUGUGCACUUGAGAAGAACAUGUUUGCUGCUGCUUUGGGAAUGCUCUGUAUAUAUCCAGGACAGUGGACCCUAUGAAAAAGAAAUCGGUAGCCAAGAAAAAAAUUACAGUGUGUAUUUGAAGUCUCCACACCAACGCCUAGCUCUGCAGCGUGUGGGUCACAGUGCUGGGAGGAAGGUGGGAAAACGCACUCCAGGGUUAGAAGUGUUAAGUGAAACACACAGCCGACUGAGCCAUUCCAGAGAGGUGCCGUUAGAAACGACUGAGAGCGUGGAGCUAACUCCCCCAAGGAGAAGACUGCCGGUGGAGAAUGCAUCGGUAACUCUGGAAUAGGCACGGUUUCAGCACAGACUGGCUAAGUCAAGAGGUGGGUAGGUUAGUAGCUAGAAGAGCUAUGGGCUAAGGGUGUAAUAGAGGUUUGAAUCCAAGCUCUUGCCAUUUAUGAGCUGGGUGACUUUAGAAAAGUCUUUAAACUUGUCUGGGUAGGAUUCCUCACCUAUAAAACACUAAUCCUUAACUCAAAGUGGUUGCGAAUAUUAAAGUGCAAAAAACAAACAAACAACUUUAUACGGCCGUUAACAGUAACAGCUGUAACAAAACUGGAACAUAGACUAGCAGCUGAUAAUAGGUACAAGGCUUUAGCAGACCUCUCCCGAUUAUAAACACUAACAGUUUAAAGUUUACCACUUAGGAGUAAGCAAGUCAGGUACAUUUUGAGGGUUUAUUUUGAAAGGUGUAAUAAUUUGGGGAGAGAGGAAAACCCCCGUAUAAUUUAAUACCCUGGAAGAAUAAACUAUUCUCUAUAUCUCACUCAACUGGGGAGAGCUAAAAUUAUUGAGCUAAUUCUUCUGGAUUUCUUUUUUUUUUUAAGAUUUUAUUUAUUUAUUCAUGAGAGAGACAGAGAGAGAGAGAGGCAGAGACACAGAGGGAGAAGCAGGCUCCAUGCA